AUACUCACAUGGUGGGGGAGACACCAUGAUCACAAAGGGGGUUUUCCCAGGGCGAGGCUUAUCCAUUGCACUCCGGAUGUGCUUACCCCUGCGAUUUCCCCAAAUGCAGGAAAAUCGACUGCAGAAUUUGUGGUAGUGAGGGACUGCAUUUGCGCUUUACCCUGU
Small nuclear RNA from Octodon degus (degu), 165 nucleotides. Its record names the gene U1. It matches the Rfam family "U1 spliceosomal RNA". From Rfam's summary of the family: U1 is a small nuclear RNA (snRNA) component of the spliceosome (involved in pre-mRNA splicing). The record is from Ensembl. NCBI's taxonomy places the organism in Eukaryota, Metazoa, Chordata, Mammalia, Rodentia, Octodontidae.